Molecule: ribosomal RNA, 301 nt
Filed under: uncultured bacterium
Lineage: Bacteria
Description: partial 16S ribosomal RNA
Rfam family: Bacterial small subunit ribosomal RNA
Source: RNAcentral
CAGUCGCCACGGUAAUACGAAGGGGGCUAGCGUUGUUCGGAAUCACUGGGCGUAAAGCGCACGUAGGCGGACUUUUAAGUCAGGGGUGAAAUCCCAAGGCUCAACCUUGGAACUGCCUUUGAUACUGGAAGUCUUGAGUUCGGGAGAGGUGAGUGGAACUGCGAGUGUAGAGGUGAAAUUCGUAGAUAUUCGCAAGAACACCAGUGGCGAAGGCGGCUCACUGGCCCGAUACUGACGCUGAGGUGCGAAAGCGUGGGGAGCAAACAGGAUUAGAUACCCCUGUAGUCCCUGUCUCUUAUAA